This 253-nucleotide ribosomal RNA is filed under the name uncultured bacterium. Its description in RNAcentral is "partial 16S ribosomal RNA". It matches the Rfam family "Bacterial small subunit ribosomal RNA", at positions 524 to 776 of the family's 1533-position model. The record is from RNAcentral.
UACGUAGGGUGCAAGCGUUAAUCGGAAUUACUGGGCGUAAAGCGUGCGCAGGCGGUGAUGUAAGACAGGUGUGAAAUCCCCGGGCUCAACCUGGGAACUGCAUUUGUGACUGCAUGGCUAGAGUGCGGCAGAGGGGGAUGGAAUUCCGCGUGUAGCAGUGAAAUGCGUAGAUAUGCGGAGGAACACCGAUGGCGAAGGCAAUCCCCUGGGCCUGCACUGACGCUCAUGCACGAAAGCGUGGGGAGCAAACAGG